Molecule: ribosomal RNA, 482 nt
Filed under: uncultured bacterium
Lineage: Bacteria
Description: partial 16S ribosomal RNA
Rfam family: Bacterial small subunit ribosomal RNA
Source: RNAcentral
AUUGAACGCUGGCGGCAUGCUUUACACAUGCAAGUCGAACGGUAACAGGCCGCAAGGUGCUGACGAGUGGCGAACGGGUGAGUAAUGCAUCGGAACGUGCCCAGUCGUGGGGGAUAACUACUCGAAAGAGUAGCUAAUACCGCAUACGAUCUAUGGAUGAAAGCGGGGGACCGUAAGGCCUCGCGCGAUUGGAGCGGCCGAUGUCAGAUUAGGUAGUUGGUGGGGUAAAGGCUCACCAAGCCAACGAUCUGUAGCUGGUCUGAGAGGACGACCAGCCACACUGGGACUGAGACACGGCCCAGACUCCUACGGGAGGCAGCAGUGGGGAAUUUUGGACAAUGGGCGCAAGCCUGAUCCAGCAAUGCCGCGUGCAGGAAGAAGGCCUUCGGGUUGUAAACUGCUUUUGUACGGAACGAAACGGCUCUGGUUAAUACCCGGGGCUAAUGACGGUACCGUAAGAAUAAGCACCGGCUAUCUACGUG